This 1556-nucleotide ribosomal RNA is filed under the name Pectobacterium brasiliense. RNAcentral describes it as "bacterial SSU rRNA". It matches the Rfam family "Bacterial small subunit ribosomal RNA". Lineage: Bacteria; Pseudomonadati; Pseudomonadota; Gammaproteobacteria; Enterobacterales; Pectobacteriaceae. The record is from RNAcentral.
CUUAAAUUGAAGAGUUUGAUCAUGGCUCAGAUUGAACGCUGGCGGCAGGCCUAACACAUGCAAGUCGAGCGGUAGCACAGAAGAGCUUGCUCUUUGGGUGACGAGCGGCGGACGGGUGAGUAAUGUCUGGGAAACUGCCUGAUGGAGGGGGAUAACUACUGGAAACGGUAGCUAAUACCGCAUAACCUUCGCAAGAGCAAAGAGGGGGACCUUCGGGGCCUCUCGCCAUCAGAUGUGCCCAGAUGGGAUUAGCUAGUAGGUGAGGUAAUUGGCUCACCUAGGCGACGAUCCCUAGCUGGUCUGAGAGGAUGACCAGCCACACUGGAACUGAGACACGGUCCAGACUCCUACGGGAGGCAGCAGUGGGGAAUAUUGCACAAUGGGCGCAAGCCUGAUGCAGCCAUGCCGCGUGUGUGAAGAAGGCCUUCGGGUUGUAAAGCACUUUCAGCGGGGAGGAAGGCGGUAAGGUUAAUAACCUUAUCGAUUGACGUUACCCGCAGAAGAAGCACCGGCUAACUCCGUGCCAGCAGCCGCGGUAAUACGGAGGGUGCAAGCGUUAAUCGGAAUGACUGGGCGUAAAGCGCACGCAGGCGGUCUGUUAAGUUGGAUGUGAAAUCCCCGGGCUUAACCUGGGAACUGCAUUCAAAACUGACAGGCUAGAGUCUUGUAGAGGGGGGUAGAAUUCCAGGUGUAGCGGUGAAAUGCGUAGAGAUCUGGAGGAAUACCGGUGGCGAAGGCGGCCCCCUGGACAAAGACUGACGCUCAGGUGCGAAAGCGUGGGGAGCAAACAGGAUUAGAUACCCUGGUAGUCCACGCUGUAAACGAUGUCGAUUUGGAGGUUGUGCCCUUGAGGCGUGGCUUCCGGAGCUAACGCGUUAAAUCGACCGCCUGGGGAGUACGGCCGCAAGGUUAAAACUCAAAUGAAUUGACGGGGGCCCGCACAAGCGGUGGAGCAUGUGGUUUAAUUCGAUGCAACGCGAAGAACCUUACCUACUCUUGACAUCCAGAGAACUUAGCAGAGAUGCUUUGGUGCCUUCGGGAACUCUGAGACAGGUGCUGCAUGGCUGUCGUCAGCUCGUGUUGUGAAAUGUUGGGUUAAGUCCCGCAACGAGCGCAACCCUUAUCCUUUGUUGCCAGCGAUUCGGUCGGGAACUCAAAGGAGACUGCCGGUGAUAAACCGGAGGAAGGUGGGGAUGACGUCAAGUCAUCAUGGCCCUUACGAGUAGGGCUACACACGUGCUACAAUGGCGUAUACAAAGAGAAGCGACCUCGCGAGAGCAAGCGGACCUCAUAAAGUACGUCGUAGUCCGGAUUGGAGUCUGCAACUCGACUCCAUGAAGUCGGAAUCGCUAGUAAUCGUAGAUCAGAAUGCUACGGUGAAUACGUUCCCGGGCCUUGUACACACCGCCCGUCACACCAUGGGAGUGGGUUGCAAAAGAAGUAGGUAGCUUAACCUUCGGGAGGGCGCUUACCACUUUGUGAUUCAUGACUGGGGUGAAGUCGUAACAAGGUAACCGUAGGGGAACCUGCGGUUGGAUCACCUCCUUACCAAGAAG